RNAcentral lists this microRNA precursor (95 nucleotides) under Canis lupus familiaris (dog). Its description in RNAcentral is "mir-8799 microRNA precursor family". It matches the Rfam family "mir-8799 microRNA precursor family". Lineage: Eukaryota; Metazoa; Chordata; Mammalia; Carnivora; Canidae. The record is from Rfam by way of RNAcentral. RNAcentral also lists the same sequence under 1 other name.
AGGGGAAGCGCUGGAUCUUGGGCUGUGUCCUCCAGCGCCCUGGGCUCCCGGGCCUGCACCACUGGAAUCACGCUUCUGGGGCUGUGCCACCCCCU